RNAcentral lists this ribosomal RNA (2028 nucleotides) under marine metagenome. Its description in RNAcentral is "bacterial LSU rRNA". It matches the Rfam family "Bacterial large subunit ribosomal RNA", at positions 14 to 2235 of the family's 2925-position model. The record is from RNAcentral.
AGAGCAUUUGGUGGAUGCCUUGGCAUAAAGAGGCGAUGAAGGACGUGACAGACUGCGAUAAGCUCGGACUUGCUGUCAAUAAGCUUAAUCCGAGAUCUCCGAAUGGGGAAACCCAAUAACUUAUAAGUGAAUUCAUAGCUUAUAAGGGCGAACCUAGGGAACUGAAACAUCUAAGUACCUAGAGGAAAAGAUAUUCCGUUAGUAGUGGCGAGCGAAAGCGGAUCAGGCCAGUGCUACUUUUUACUAAACCAGAACUGUAUGGAAAGGCAGGCCAUAGUGAGUGAUAGCCUCGUAUGGGUAGAUAGUAAAAAAUAGACAUGAGUAGGGCGGGACACGUGAAAUCCUGUCUGAAUAUAGGAAGACCACUUCCUAAGCCUAAAUACUACUUUAUGACCGAUAGUGAACCAGUACCGUGAGGGAAAGGCGAAAAGAACCCCUAGCAGGGGAGUGAAAUAGACCCUGAAACCGGAUGCUUACAAGCAGUUGGAGCCUCUUUAUGAGGUGACAGCGUACCUUUUGUAUAAUGGGUCAGCGACUUAAUCUCAUUAGCAAGCUUAAGCCACAUAGGUGUAGGCGAAGCGAAAGCGAGUCUGAAUAGGGCGAUUUAGUUAAUGGGAUUAGACUCGAAACCGAGUGAUCUAGUCAUGAGCAGGUUGAAAGUGAAGUAAAAUUCACCGGAGGACCGAACCCACUAGCGUUGAAAAGCUACGGGAUGACUUGUGAUUAGGGGUGAAAGGCCAACCAAACUCGGAAAUAGCUAGUUCUCCGCGAAAACUAUUUAGGUAGUGCGUCGUGUGAAUCUUGUCGGGGGUAGAGCACUGAAUGGGCUAGGGGGAAGCAAUUCCUACCAAACCUAAUCAAACUCCGAAUACCGAUAAGUCUGCACGGCAGACAGUCCAUGGGUGCUAAGGUCCUUGGACGAGAGGGAAACAGCCCAGAUCAACAGCUAAGGUCCCCAAAUAAUGAUUAAGUGUGAAAGGGAGUGGGAACUCCAAGACAGCCAGGAGGUUGGCUUAGAAGCAGCCAUCCUUUAAAGAAAGCGUAACAGCUCACUGGUCUAAUUAAGAGAUCCUGCACCGAAAAUGUAACGGGGCUCAAAUCAUUUACCGAAGCUUUGACAAUUACUUUGUAAUUGGGUAGCGGAGCGUUCUGUAAGCCUGUAAAGGUGAUGCGUAAGCAUUGCUGGAGGUAUCAGAAGUGCGAAUGCUGACAUGAGUAACGAUAAGAAAUGUGAAAGACAUUUCCGCCGAAAUCCUAAGGUUUCCUGCGUAAAGCUAAUCUGCGCAGGGUUAGUCGGCCCCUAAGGCGAGGGCGAAAGCCGUAGUCGAUGGGAAGCAGGUUAAUAUUCCUGCACCAGCUGGUAGUGACGGAUGAAGUAAAUUGUAAGUUCUUACUGGAUUGAACUUGCAGUGAAUUUGUCCCUGGAAAUAGCUCCAGCAUUAGACCGUACCAAAACCGACACAGGUAGGAGGGUAGAGAAUACCAAGGCGCUUGAGAGAACUAUGUUGAAGGAACUCGGCAAAUUACACUUGUAACUUCGGGAUAAAAGUGACCUGCUAUUGGGCAACCAGUAGGAGGUGGCACAGAAGAGGGGGUAGCGACUGUUUACUAAAAACAUAGCACUAUGCAAAGUCGAAAGACGACGUAUAUGGUGUGACGCCUGCCCGGUGCCGGAAGGUUAAUAGGAGGGGUGCAAGCCCUGAAUUGAAGCCCCGGUGAACGGCGGCCGUAACUAUAACGGUCCUAAGGUAGCGAAAUUCCUUGUCGGGUAAGUUCCGACCUGCACGAAUGGCGUAACGAUUUCCCCACUGUCUCCAACAUAGACUCAGUGAAAUUGAAUUCUCGGUUAAGAUGCCGAGUAACCGUGGUUAGACGGAAAGACCCCGUGCACCUUUACUGCAGCUUUGUAUUGGUAUUAGGGAACAGAUGUGUAGCAUAGGUGGGAGACUUUGAAGGAGUGGCGCUAGCCAUUCUGGAGUCACUAGUGAAAUACCACUCUUCUGUUCCUUGAUGCCUAACCAUACACCG